GUGAUCGCUUUGGCAACAUACAUGCUAAAAUCAGAAUGAUACAUGUGCACGGUACCUGCAUAAAGAUAGCAUGCAAAUUCAUAAAGUGUUCCGUAUUUUA
This 100-nucleotide small nuclear RNA is filed under the name Nannospalax galili (Upper Galilee mountains blind mole rat). Lineage: Eukaryota; Metazoa; Chordata; Mammalia; Rodentia; Spalacidae. The record is from RNAcentral.